AUGAUUGCGAAUGGUUACCUUCGGUGCUGGCUCGCUGAGGAAGCAAGUAAGUGCACGUCGGUGGCCUUCAUCUCUCAUCCACACUACCCUGUGAACCUUUGGCCUCUUGCUAGCUUCGGCUGGCAGAGGAUUUUUUUUAUACACACACUCGAAUGUAAUGAAAACUUUUGUUGUUGUGCGCAAGCACACUAAUGUA
RNAcentral lists this unclassified non-coding RNA (196 nucleotides) under uncultured Sebacinaceae. RNAcentral describes it as "sequence contains ITS1". Lineage: Eukaryota; Fungi; Basidiomycota; Agaricomycetes; Sebacinales; Sebacinaceae. The record is from RNAcentral.